This 3205-nucleotide unclassified non-coding RNA is filed under the name Hevea brasiliensis (rubber tree). The record is from RNAcentral. Lineage: Eukaryota; Viridiplantae; Streptophyta; Magnoliopsida; Malpighiales; Euphorbiaceae.
CCGCCUUCCCGCCCCUCUAUCUCUCUAUCUCUUCAAUUUUUUACUCGUUAGUCGUUCCUGUUGACUCUUCGAGGCUAGAGAUUGAGACACAGCCAGAGAGCAACUCCGUUUAUGUAUGGGUGUUUAAGCUACGAAGUGAGAGCUUCAGAGGGCUGAGAUGUUGAAGAGAUCUACCCUGGUGUGUUCCCAUGGAGCUCAACACACCUAAUAAGAACCACCUCAUCUCCACCUCCCUUUCUCAAUUUGAGGAUUCUCCUGUCUUUAAUUACAUCAACAAUCUCUCCCCCAUUGAGUUAGUCAAGUCUGUGCACAGCGAUCAAACAUUUAACUCUCUAGCUUUUUCAUCCCCUCCAUCGGUGUUUGCUUCCCCUAAGCUUGUUUCCCAAAGAGACACAAGAUCCUUUAUUACAAGGCGUCAAUUAUCAGACCCAUUGAAACCCAGGCCUUCUCAAAUUAGAGAUGACAACAAUACGAGUGAAGGGGUUUCAGAGGCUGUUGAACUAUCCAACUUGUCUGCUGAACAAUUGGGAUGCUUGGCUUCCAGCAGUUCACCUAAAGAUGUUACUGCUGAGCCGCUCAAUGAACACUUGGAAUUAGCAAUUGAACUUCCAGAACCCUUGAAAUGUGAUAGUACUAGCCCAGAUAAAAGCAUUGUGCCUCUUGAUGCAAUUAGGAGAGAUACAGCGCCAGAAGAGGUGGACAAAUCAAAUGAGAGACAUUGUUUGUAUGAGAGUGAAAAAAAUUUGCGUAAAAUCUGUCGAAUUGACCAAAGUGAAGAUGAAGCAGGAGGUGAUUGGGUGACGUUGAUUUCUAAUGUUGCUGAUGCCUUGAACUUUGAAUCAUCCAUCAUUGAAGAACACUCUGAAGAGCACAAACUAAUGGUGGAUCCUGGCACAAUCUCUUUUAUCUCAAAUGUACUGCAGAUCCCACAAGAUAGUACCAAUGAUUUGGAGAAUGUGGAAUCUAUUGUUUGUGAUGAUUAUUCAGAACAGAAAAUGGGAGAACCAGGAUCUCAGUCAAUAGUAUUAGGAAAAAAGAAGGAAGCCGAUGAAAUACCAGCUAUACUUUCUGGCAGUCUACUGAAUAAGCUAGUUGUUAAUGAUGCGGCUGCAGAAGUGGAUGUCAAGGGGAAAAAGCGUGAAUCCAGCUGCAAGCAGAAUAGAAUACGAAGGUUGGUUUUUGAGAUGGCAGGGGCUCAUAAGAAGGAAUCAGUAUGUCAAGAAAAUAGUACUUCUCCAAUUUCAGGGCAAUCAGAUUGUGAAGUUGGCCACACUGCAAAGCCUUCAACUCCAAGAAUAUCCAUGCUAUCAAGACGGGGUAUUGGUUUGCACUUGAAUGCUUUUGCAACUACUUCAAGUGAUAAUAAAGUUGUCAAGACUGAGACAUCUUCUACAAAGCAAGAAAUGAGUUUGGUCCUUUGUGACAGUGAAGAUCAGGUCACAGAAGAUGCUCCACAAAUAUUGACAGUUGUUAGUGAUGAAGUUGGCAUUAGUAGUCCUAAAAUGAAGAGGCACAAAAUUGAACAUGCUGGAGCAGCCUGCAAGCGCUGCAAUUGUAAGAGGUCAAAAUGCUUGAAGCUUUAUUGUGAAUGUUUUGCUGCUGGACUCUACUGUAUUGAGCCUUGUUCAUGUCAAGAUUGUUUUAACAAGCCUGCUCAUGAAGAAACUGUUCUAGAGACUCGGAAACAGAUUGAAUCUCGCAAUCCUCUCGCAUUUGCUCCAAAAGUUAUUAGAAGCACAGAUUUUGUUUCUGAAUUUGGGGUUAGAAAUCCUCCCUAUAGUUACUUUAUUUGAGAACAAGUCACAGGCGAAUUUUAUAAUACACUCAGAGCAUGUGUUCUUUCGCUCACAUAGAUGUGGGACCCACUUUUCUUAAUUUAUGGAGAGGCCAACAAUUAUGUGAAUGUAGAGCACAAAAAUUUAGUGCUCUGGAUGUAUUGAAUAAUUUCCUCAAGGGAUGCUGGUGUCUCAGCAAUCAUAUACCAUACUCUUCAUACUUUGUUAAAGCAUUGUCUUAUUUGCAAGGUAAAGCCCACAAUGAGGUGGUGCCUCAGAAAAUUCAUGAAGAGGAUUGUAUUUUGAAGGCUGUGGUGCCAUUUUAAUUGGUGUCAAUUUGUCAUACUAUUCCUGAGCCUUUUUUAAUUUCCUUAAACUACAUUGCUUGUUUUUUGUUCAUGCAGGAUGAAACUAACAAAACUCCAGCUUCAGCCAGGCAUAAAAGAGGAUGCAAUUGUAAAAAAUCAAGCUGCUUAAAGAAAUACUGUGAAUGCUUCCAGGUUUCACCACUUGUCUCUCUCAUUGUGCAUUCUUUUUACCUGAUCUAAUGAGGAGAAUGUUGUUUGUGUAUAAAGGGUGGCGUUGGUUGCUCUCCUAACUGUAGAUGUGAAGGGUGUAAAAACACUUUUGGUACCAAGAAUGGACUAGACGAAAACGAACUUGAAGGUGGUGAAUCUGAAGUGCUUGAGAAGAAAGCAUCAGAUGUAACUUUAUGUGAUAGAAUCGAAAGCGGUGAAGAAGAGGGUGCAGAUCUUCCAAUACCUUCUGAAACUGCCAGGUCUUCAAUUCAACUGCCAAUGACUUUUGGUGGGAGGCUCUCAAGAUCUCUAUCUACUUUUGGUGCAUCAUCUCAAAUGUGCCCCAGCCAAAAGCAUGGAAAGGACAUUUUUCGCCAGCCUAAAUUUGAAACUCAUCUUCAGGCGAUUCCAGAAGAAGAAACUCCUGAGGUACUGACUAGGAGUUGCCCACCUGCAAAUGGUGUGAAAUCAGCCUCUCCAAACUGCAAAAGGGUUUCACCUCCUCAUCAAGGUUUUGGUUCAUCAGCUAUUUGGAGGAGCAGCAGAAAGUUGAUUCUAAGAUCUGUCCCACCCUUCCCAUCUCUUAACUCACCACGUCAGCAAUGACUAAAACCUUUGGUAAAACACCAAUGCUUAUGAUGCUGAGGCAUGUUGUAUUAUGAGACAAACAUGUAUAAUAGUAACUAUAAGAAUCAUCCCUGCCGUUGAGAAAGCUAUUUUCCAUGGCACCAUCAAUAUUCAUGUAAUGUAAGUCUAUUCCAUGUAUCUUUAAUAUUUUGUGUUGAACAAGUUAAAAGCAGUACCUGUAGCAUACCUUCAAAGCCCUGUAAGUUUACCUGUAAACAGACAUUCACCAGUCCCAUAUUUUACGUAUCUCUAAUGGGGAUGGCAUCCAAUACGCCCUUACCAUGA